Molecule: ribosomal RNA, 428 nt
Filed under: uncultured prokaryote
Description: bacterial SSU rRNA
Rfam family: Bacterial small subunit ribosomal RNA
Source: RNAcentral
UGGGGAAUAUUGGGCAAUGGGCGAAAGCCUGACCCAGCGACGCCGCGUGGGCGAUGAAGGCCUUCGGGUUGUAAAGCCCUGUCAUGCGGAAAGAACGACCCUGAGACGCAUACUCUCAGGGAGUGACGGUACCGCAGGAGGAAGCACCGGCUAACUCCGUGCCAGCAGCCGCGGUAAUCCGGAGGGUGCAAGCGUUGUUCGGAAUUAUUGGGCGUAAAGGGCGCGUAGGCGGUAAUGUAAGUCAGAUGUGAAAUACUCCGGCUCAACCAGAGAACUGCAUCGGAAACUACAUAACUAGAGUACAGAAGAGGGAAGCGGAAUUCCCGGUGUAGAGGUGAAAUUCGAAGAUAUCGGGAGGAACACCAGUGGCGAAGGCGGUUUCCUGGUCCGAUACUGACGCUGAGGCGCGAAAGCGUGGGGAGCAAACA